GAUGAACGCUGGCGGCGUGCCUAAUACAUGCAAGUCGAGCGAACAGACGAGGAGCUUGCUCCUCUGACGUUAGCGGCGGACGGGUGAGUAACACGUGGAUAACCUACCUAUAAGACUGGGAUAACUUCGGGAAACGGGAGCAAAUACCGGAGAAUAUCUUGAACCGCAUGGUUCAUUAGUAAAAGACGGCUUUGCUGUCACUAAUCGAUGGUUCCGCGCCGCUUUAGCGAGUUGGUAAGGUAACGGCUUACCAAGGGAACGAUGCGUGGCCGACCGGAGGGGGGGAUCGGCCACACUGGAGCUGAGACGCGGUCCAGGCUCCUACGGGAGGCAGCGGUAGGGAAUCUUCCGCGAUGGGCGAAAGCCUGACGGAGCAGCGGCGCGUGGGUGAUGAAGGGCUGCGGAUCGUAAAACGCUGUUAUUAGGGAAGAACAAAUGUGUAAGUAACGAUGCACGUCUUGACGGUACCGAAUCAGAAAGCCACGGCAAACUACGU
Molecule: ribosomal RNA, 496 nt
Filed under: uncultured bacterium
Lineage: Bacteria
Description: partial 16S ribosomal RNA
Rfam family: Bacterial small subunit ribosomal RNA
Source: RNAcentral